This is a long non-coding RNA of Eucalyptus grandis, 316 nucleotides long. RefSeq lists it as uncharacterized. The record is from RefSeq and is a predicted model, not a curated record. The transcript has 3 exons. NCBI's taxonomy places the organism in Eukaryota, Viridiplantae, Streptophyta, Magnoliopsida, Myrtales, Myrtaceae.
UUGAGGUUUCGUAUUUUCGUUCCUCUGUUGAAGGCGUGAUUUUGGGUGUGUGCGAGGUCGAUUACAUCCUCUGCGGUUGGGAUUUUGUCUCGGAAGAUCCGUGCGUUGCGUGCUUUCCAGAUCUGCCAUAGCACCCAUGCGAGGACCUCUUUCUCAGAGAUUUUCGCUAGUAGGGACGGCGUUGUGACAAAUACUCCACAGGAAGGUCCGAAGUUUCGGCGGAAUGGACAGGCUCCAUAUCUGUGUCCAUAAAGAUUGUGGGGGCUGAAUCUCGCCCCAUCAACAUGCUUUUCCAGCCCCAAGAUGGUCGCCGGCC